UUCAUUUUGAGAAGAAAGGUUAUAAACGUGUAGCAAGCACAGUGUUGACUAGCUUUCAUCAGUUACUUUUCUCAACACCGUUACAAACACCUGAUGAAACAACUCAAGGGAGGUUUGUCUUGGCUCACAGUUUGAAAGCACCUGGCCUAUCAUGGCGGCCAGGCAAGCCAUAGGAAGUAACUUGCCAUCUCUUUGUAUCUACAGCUACUUGGGAGAGAGGCAGAGAGGGCGAGGAUGCUGCUGGCCUUCAUCUGGCUUUUCUCAUCUUUCCAUUUUUAUUUAGCUUACGAAUCCAACUCACAGGAUGAUGCCAUCUAUAUUUAGAAUAAUUCCACACCCUCGGUUUAAUUUCUCUGAAAACUUCUGUACAGAUACAACCAAAGGACUGUCUCAUUAAUGCCCAAGGAAUUUCUUGUCUCUUUUGUUGAAUUUUAUUUUAUUUUGAGACGUGGUCUAACUAUGCAGCCCUGGCUGGCCUGCCAUCCUUCUUUUUAUACCUUAUUCUCUAUUCUCUCUCUCUCUCUCUCUCUCUCUCUGUAUUCAUGUGUGGGCACAUAUGUGCGUGCAUAUGCAUAUGUGUGGAGGCCAGCAGGUGAUGUUUGGUAUCUGUCCUGCUCAUACUUUACCCACUGAGUUAGUUCCUCUCCUGCUAGAUGUUUCUUAACCCAAUUCCUUUUUCUUUUUUCUUUUAUGAGAUCAGCCUGUGUAGCUCAAACUUGAACUUGUGAUCUUCUUGCCUUGGUCUCCAGAGUGCUGGGAUAACAGGUGUGUGGUACCACAACUGUCGUAAUUUUAUUUAAUUUUUGAUGAGAUCAGGAAUUGAAUCUAGGAACUUGUCUCAUGCCAGGCAAGUACUGUACCAUGGCGAUUUAUAGCCCCUGCUCAUCUUAACCACCAUAAAGCAUAUGGUUCAACAAUGUUCUGUAUGUUCACAUUAUCUGUAGCAGAUCUCUAGUCUUCUUCAUUUUGCAAAAAUGAUACAACCCAUUGAGUAGAAAUCCUGACUUUCUCUUUUCCUCAGCUCUGGCAACUACCUUUCUGUGCUGUUUCUGUUGGUGUGAGGGAGGCUCGUGCAGCAUUUGUCUUUAAUGAAUGGCUUAUUUACUCAGCCUAAUGCCCCAGACAUUCAUCCACACUGUAGCAUGUGACAGAAUUCUUUUCUUUUUAAAUUUUCUUUUCAUUUUAUGUAGGUCAUAUUUUUAUUAGUUUGUUUCUUAUUUAUUUUUUGUUGUUUUGAGACAGGCUUUCUCUCUUGCAGCCCUGGCUGUCCUGGAACUCAGAGAUCUGCCUUCUUCUGCCUCCCAAGUGUUGGCAUUAAAGGUGUGCACCACUACUGUCUGGCUUCAUUUACAAUUUUUAAGUAACAUUUUCAUUUAUUCUUUUAUGUUUUAAUAGAUGGAUAUGGCACAUGUGACAUCACGCUGUAAGACUAUUCCGUAGUUCUCUCUCCCAUCCUCUGUUACAUCAUUGCGUGCCUCUUUGGGCUUGCAAGGCCCACCUUCCACAGUUGGCACACUGCUGCCACCAGCUGACAUGAUGGUGAUCAUUUAAAUCAUAUCUACCCACUGUUUGCCCACUCUAGCUUUCCCCAAACCACCUCCAACAUGUCUCCUCUCAAUGUCAUCCCCCCAGCUCUUUCCUUUUUAAAUGACCAACUGAGUCUAAUUAGCGUGGCUCUCUGCCCAUGCACUAGAGCAUGAACCCACCGGAGGCUGCAGUCCGUGGGCCCUAGGAGGAUCUAUUCUAGUUGAUUUGUUAAAUGGUCAUGUUGCUCGGACUCUGACCACCCAGAACUGGCCUGACCACCCAGUUCUUCCAAAGUCUAACCCACCAACCAAGGAGUGUACUUGUUAAUUGGUUAGGUUGGAGCCUGUCAGUUUCAUCACUAUUAGACAUUCUCUUUUUUAUUUGUCUAAUAAUGACAAAGAUGACAGAUGUGAACCUAACAAAUAAAUAAGUAGAACCAGGAAUGGGGAAAACUGACAUCUUGGGUCUCGUGGUUAAGAAAGAUAACUAUUUAGAAUUUUUGCAAUUAAAAAAUAUCGAUGAUAUUCUGAGACUGAAUAUCACCUCUAGCAUUCAUCGGCUAUUCUAGCCUGGGUCACUUACUAUCAUGGUGGUUCUCGGAUAAAUCAUAUCUCUUAAACCCUAACAUCUUCAAAUAAAGUUGUUUCUAUUUUUUCUUAUGUAAUUAGACAGCCUUAAGGGAAUAAAAAUUAGUUUAUCCACACACAUCACACUGUUUAUCCUAGCAGAGGUGUUGGUAAAUCAGUAGGAAUAAAAUUUGGAAUCUAUUUGACCUAUUUACUGGGUGAUGUGAAAGCCAUGGGGGUUGAUUACUGCUAGUGCUGGGCUAGAAGAGAGGCUCCUCAGGGGCAAAGGCUCAGCCCACUCUUCUUUUAGGAUCUUUAGAACUCAGCAGGUGUCCAGCAAAACCGGAGGCAAUGUGGCUUGCUAGGAUUUUAGAAGAAAGUCUUGUCUCUUUCAACAAAUAACCUUUAUUGUGCUUUAAAGGAAAUACCCUGACUUUCACUUGGGCUAUGUUACAGUCUGAACAUCUGUGUCCCUAUCUCCCCUAUUUGUAUGAUGAAACCUUAAAUCCAGAGGUCAAGAUAUUUUUGAGCUGCUUAGGUCACUAGGACUGAUUCCUCAUAUAUAGAGUUAUUGCCCUUGUAAAAGAGAACACUGGGGAGUUGACUUGUUCCUUCUACCAUGUAAGCACCCAAUGACACGUGAGUAUUCUGUGAUCCAAAGGACAGCAUGGCACAGUUGCAUGUGAUCUUUAAUCUUCUAGCUUCAAGAGCCACGAGACAUACAUCUCUAUUUUUAUAAGACACCCAACUUAGUGUAUUCUAUUGGAAUAGUCUAAACAGACCAACAAGGCUCUGAUAGUCAAGGAUUUGGAGAUGGGAAGAGUACAUUGGAGAGGAGGCUUGGAACAAUAACACCCAACUUUUACUUAGCAACUAAGACUGACUUUCUGAAUGUUGGGAUUGUCACCAGCAGUGACCAAGUAGCCAUGAGUCCUCAGAAAGCUGAGAUAACUGGAGGCUGGCUUGUUACUCAGAGGUAAGGUAUUUCUAUUAGAUUGUUUCAUAACGGAGGAGGUGAUUAGUUUUUCCAGAUUAGUUUUCCUGGUUUAAGUUGGUUUCAUUGCAUAGCAUGUACCAGGGAAUCCUCAUGCAGGGGAAAUGAUUUUAUCUUACGGAACAUUAGUGUCUUAGUUUCUUUUUUCUGAUAAAAUGACUACCAAAAUGAACUUGAAGGAGAUAGGGUUUAUUUUGCCUUAUAAUUCCCGGGGACAGUCCAUCGUCUGGGUGAGUAAAGGCAGGAGGAGGAGCUUGAAGCAGCUGCUCACCCCACACCUAUAAUCAUAAGCAGAGAUGACAAAUGAAAUACUUGGCUCGUUUUCUCCUUUUUGGAUAAUCUAGUACUCAAGCAAGGGAAUGGUGUUUUCCGUUUUUAGUAUUGGUCUUCCCACCUCAAUUAACCCAAUGUACCUACUCGUUUCAGGUGUGACCAGAGGCUAAACAAUUUCUUCCAGAUCCUGUCAAGUUAACAAUUAAAGUGUAUCCGGGUACCACAUAUAUGUCUACUGUCCCUGAAGAUCUGAAGAGGGUGUCAAAUCCCCUGGAACUGGAGUUAUAGACAGAGAUGAGCUAUCAUGUAGGAGCUUGGAAUUAAACCUGGUUUUCUAA
This is a long non-coding RNA of Rattus norvegicus (Norway rat), 3698 nucleotides long. RefSeq lists it as uncharacterized. The record is from RefSeq and is a predicted model, not a curated record. NCBI's taxonomy places the organism in Eukaryota, Metazoa, Chordata, Mammalia, Rodentia, Muridae.